GCGGAGGUGGCGGAAUUGGCAGACGCGCAGGUCUCAGAAGCCUGUGUCGCAAGACAUGAGGGUUCAACCCCCUCCCUCCGCA
Molecule: transfer RNA, 82 nt
Filed under: Candidatus Omnitrophota bacterium
Lineage: Bacteria; Pseudomonadati; Candidatus Omnitrophota
Description: tRNA-Leu
Rfam family: tRNA
About the family: Transfer RNA (tRNA) molecules are approximately 80 nucleotides in length. Their secondary structure includes four short double-helical elements and three loops (D, anti-codon, and T loops).
Source: RNAcentral